This 272-nucleotide ribosomal RNA is filed under the name uncultured prokaryote. RNAcentral describes it as "partial 16S ribosomal RNA". It matches the Rfam family "Bacterial small subunit ribosomal RNA", at positions 524 to 796 of the family's 1533-position model. The record is from RNAcentral.
UACGAAGGGGGCUAGCGUUGUUCGGAAUUACUGGGCGUAAAGCGCACGUAGGCGGAUAUUUAAGUCAGGGGUGAAAUCCCGGGGCUCAACCCCGGAACUGCCUUUGAUACUGGGUAUCUAGAGUCCGGAAGAGGUGAGUGGAAUUCCGAGUGUAGAGGUGAAAUUCGUAGAUAUUCGGAGGAACACCAGUGGCGAAGGCGGCUCACUGGUCCGGUACUGACGCUGAGGUGCGAAAGCGUGGGGAGCAAACAGGAUUAGAAACCCUGUAGUCC